Molecule: RNase P RNA, 373 nt
Filed under: Caldifarciminota bacterium JGI_Cruoil_03_51_56
Lineage: Bacteria; Pseudomonadati; Caldifarciminota
Description: RNase P RNA component class A
Rfam family: Bacterial RNase P class A
About the family: Ribonuclease P (RNase P) is a ubiquitous endoribonuclease, found in archaea, bacteria and eukarya as well as chloroplasts and mitochondria. Its best characterised activity is the generation of mature 5'-ends of tRNAs by cleaving the 5'-leader elements of precursor-tRNAs.
Source: RNAcentral
GAGGCGGGUCGGACGGUCGCUGCGGCGCUCGCGUCGCCGAGGAAAGUCCGGGCACCAAAGGGCAAGGCACUCGCUAACAGCGAGGCUGCAAGCUGGAAACAGCCUGCGGACGGAAAGUGCCACAGAAACUACACCGCUUGCGCUCUGCGCAAGUAAGGGUGAAAAAGUGCGGUAAGAGCGCACUGACCCGAAUGGUGACAUUCGGGUCGGACAAACCCUGCCCGGUGCAAGACCAACAUGAGAACAGGACCGGCCCGGUCCGCGAUGAUUCUCGGGUAGGUCGCUUGAGGCACGCGGGUAACUGCGUGUCCAGAUAAAUGACCGUCACGCGCCCCGGCGCGCACAGAACCCGGCUUACAGACCCGCCUCCGCU